This is a long non-coding RNA of Artibeus jamaicensis (Jamaican fruit-eating bat), 975 nucleotides long. RefSeq lists it as uncharacterized. Lineage: Eukaryota; Metazoa; Chordata; Mammalia; Chiroptera; Phyllostomidae. The record is from RefSeq and is a predicted model, not a curated record. The transcript is spliced from 4 exons.
GCCUGGACAAAAUGCUGCAAGGUGAUGUCACCCCCUUUGUCAGUUCUGAGCCAGAAACCCACCUUCUCGGGAUGAUUUUGCCCAGCAUUUCCUGAAUCUCCCAUGUUUCUUCCGGGCUCUUCCUCAUCUGGACUGCACCCCUGUCUGCCUCCCCGGAACCUGGACCCCUCAGUAGUAAUCUCCACUGCCUACCGAUUCUCUGCCCUUCUCCACCCGUUGGCUUCUCCCCAGCAGGGCCGGACCUGCUCCUUCCACACGGGGGGCGUCCUUCUCUCCUGCUCCCUGUAGCUGCCCCUCUGUCUCUUUCUUCUCUUCUCUGCACAUCUAUUAUCCCUCCUUCUCUCGAUCUAGAUUUUGACUUGAAUCUAUUUUCCACCGUUUUCCUCAGAAACCUCCCUCCAUGGUUAUCAGUUUUGUCAAACCCAGGUUCAGUGGGCCACUUUCCAAAGCAUGUCCCUGUCCUUCCUGUGGUAUUUCACACCUGCAAGUCCUCCUCCUUGGUACUUCCUCCACCGUGAUCCUCUAAGGAGGUGUCUUGAUUUCCGCACCCCAAAUACAAACCCAGCUGCCAACCACAAGUCUCUACCUGGAUGCCCCAGGGACGACUCUACAUCUGCAUCUGACGCCAGACUCAUCAUCUUAACCUCAAGCAUGCUCUCUUCCUGUUGAUGAAGAAACUGAGGCACAGAAAGGUGCCCAAGGUGUCUUGAUAUUGAGAAGUCAGCUACCAGAUACCAGAUGUAAAUGAAAAGGCCCAGAACUCUGCCUCUAAUUUGUGACUUCUUCCAAAGCACCACCCUGCUUGCUGUGUUGCCAUGGAAACAAGGCUGGGCCUGUCUGCAGGUGGAUGAGAGACUAUACAGAGCAGAGGCGAACCAUCCCAGCUGAGGCCCCCCGCCAAACCAGCAGCUGACCACAGACACAUGAGUGAACCUGGCCAAGACCAGAAGAACCACCUAGCUGAGCCCAGAACAA